AGAGUUGAUCCUGGCUCAGAAUCAACGCUGGCGGCGUGCCUCAGACAUGCAAGUCGAACGAUUAAACUUUCCUUCGGGAAAGAUAUAAAGUGGCGCACGGGUGAGUAACACGUAGGUAAUGUACCUUUGGGUGGGGAAUAACUUAGGGAAACUUAAGCUAAUACCGCAUAAUGCAGCGGCUCCUUCGGGAGACAGUUGUUAAAGAUUUAUCGCCUAAAGAGCAGCCUGCGGCAGAUUAGCUAGUUGGUAAGGUAACGGCUUACCAAGGCUACGAUCUGUAUCCGACCUGAGAGGGUGGUCGGACACACUGACACUGAAUAACGGGUCAGACUCCUACGGGAGGCAGCAGUCGGGAAUUUUGGGCAAUGGGCGAAAGCCUGGCCCAGCAACGCCGCGUGAAGGAUGAAGUCUCUCGGGAUGUAAACUUCGUAAGAAUAGGAAGAAUAAAUGACGGUACUAUUUGUAAGGUCCGGCUAACUACGUGCCAGCAGCCGCGGUAAUACGUAGGGACCAAGCGUUGUUCGGAUUUACUGGGCGUAAAGGGCGCGUAGGCGGCAAUUCAAGUCAGUUGUGAAAUCUCCGAGCUUAGCUCGGAACGGUCAACUGAUACUGCUUUGCUAGAGUACAGAAGGGGCAAUCGGAAUUCUUGGUGUAGCGGUGAAAUGCGUAGAUAUCAAGAGGAACACCUGAGGUGAAGACGGGUUGCUGGGCUGAUACUGACGCUGAGGCGCGAAAGCUAGGGUAGCAAACGGGAUUAGAUACCCCGGUAGUCCUAGCCCUAAACGAUGAAUACUUGGUGUCUGGAGUUUUAUUCUCCGGGUGCCGUCGCUAACGUUUUUAGUAUUCCGCCUGGGGAGUACGCACGCAAGUGUGAAACUCAAAGGAAUUGACGG
Molecule: ribosomal RNA, 893 nt
Filed under: uncultured bacterium
Lineage: Bacteria
Description: bacterial SSU rRNA
Rfam family: Bacterial small subunit ribosomal RNA
Source: RNAcentral